UCCUACGGGGGGCUGCAGUGGGGAAUAUUGCACAAUGGGCGAAAGCCUGAUGCAGCAACGCCGCGUGAGGGACGACGGCCUUCGGGUUGUAAACCUCUUUUAGUAGGGAAGAAGCGAAAGUGACGGUACCUGCAGAAAAAGCACCGGCUAACUACGUGCCAGCAGCCGCGGUAAUACGUAGGGUGCAAGCGUUAUCCGGAAUUAUUGGGCGUAAAGAGCUCGUAGGCGGUCUGUCGCGUCUGCUGUGAAAACUGGAGGCUCAACCUCCAGCCUGCAGUGGGUACGGGCAGACUAGAGUGCGGUAGGGGAGAUUGGAAUUCCUGGUGUAGCGGUGGAAUGCGCAGAUAUCAGGAGGAACACCGAUGGCGAAGGCAGAUCUCUGGGCCGUAACUGACGCUGAGGAGCGAAAGCGUGGGGAGCGAACAGGAUUAGAUACCCGUGUAGUCC
RNAcentral lists this ribosomal RNA (447 nucleotides) under uncultured Salinibacterium sp. RNAcentral describes it as "bacterial SSU rRNA". It matches the Rfam family "Bacterial small subunit ribosomal RNA", at positions 337 to 796 of the family's 1533-position model. The record is from RNAcentral. Lineage: Bacteria; Bacillati; Actinomycetota; Actinomycetes; Micrococcales; Microbacteriaceae.